AGAUUCAUGUCAUAUUUGAAGAACCAAUAUUUACUGCAAACCAUAAGCUUAUCCUAAUGUUACUGUAGCAACAAUAAACUAUUUAAAAUCAAAUAGAUAAAAUCAGCCACUUCUUAAAACCUUUGCAUUGGAUACAAGAAAGCUUUGGAGAAAAGGCAAAAAAGACAACCUGAUUAUCACUUGUAGACUAACAAAUCACCAAAAGGA
This 207-nucleotide long non-coding RNA is filed under the name Elaeis guineensis (African oil palm). Its description in RNAcentral is "long non-coding RNA (EGUI_LNC041754)". Lineage: Eukaryota; Viridiplantae; Streptophyta; Magnoliopsida; Arecales; Arecaceae. The record is from RNAcentral.